Molecule: long non-coding RNA, 4210 nt
Organism: Triticum aestivum (bread wheat)
Lineage: Eukaryota; Viridiplantae; Streptophyta; Magnoliopsida; Poales; Poaceae
Exons: 6
Source: RefSeq, a predicted model, not a curated record
AUGGGACGUGGGAUGGAAAGCCAGGACCAAUCCUGAGACGAGAGCCAGACCAAUCCUCUUCCCGAAAUCCACCGCACUUCCAAUCCUCUCCGUCCUCGAGCCCUUCUUCUUCUCUCUCCACGCUGUCCCGUCUCCCCUGCUCUGGCACCGCCGCCUUCUCUCCCCGGCGCUUGAUGUGCAGCCGCGGGGCGCCACUACGUUCUCGAUCCAGCCGGGUCGGGCGCCGGUCGCCGGCGUCACGCGCCGCGUGCCGUGAUUCUGGAUCUGGCCGCCGAUGAAAAGUGGUGGUGGGGGAAGAGAGCGCCCUUGUCCUCGGUGUCCGGGCCGCCAUGGCUGACGCCAGAGCCCUUGGCUGGCCUUGAGAUCGUCCGUCAUCGGCAUCCUCGUCAUCCAUCCAAGCGCCAAGUCCUCGACGCAUCUGCAGCCACUGGAUCUCCACCGUUCGGUCCCCGCCUACGUCCACUCCCCCCUCCUAUUGCUUUAUUCCCAACGGCGGGGUGGGACGGGCGUGGGCCCCGAAGACCGCGAUCCUGGCUCAUCUGGCAGUGGGGGCGUUCCUGGCGCACUGUGGGUCGAGCUCGCUGCUGGAGGCGGCGGCGGCGGCCGGCGCGCCGAUGCAGACAUGGCCGCUGGUGUUCGACCGGUUCAUCGAGGAGAGGCUGGUCACCGACGUCCCCAAGAUCGGCGAGAAGGUGUGGGGCAGAGCGCGGAGCACGAAGGAGGAGAAGGAGAUGGUGCCGGCCAAGGCGGUGACGUUGGGCGGUGGCGAGGUUCUUGGAACCAGGCGGAACGGGGGAGACGGCGAGGGGCCGAGUGCAGGGGCUCGCAGUGAAGGCUCGCGCGGCCGUGUCGGAAGGCGGGUCGUCCUGUGAUCUGCGCAGGCUUAUCGACGACCUGAUGGAAACAAGGGAGGCCGUCGCCGGCGGCGACACUACUACGUCACGCGCUGCUGAGAUAUAGCGCCAUCGUUGUAUUUCCCUGUUCUUCAAUCCGUUUGUAAACAUGUAACACCGGCCGCUUAAUAUGUUAUGCAUUUCCCUUUGCCUACUAUCCCUAUGGUGUUCAUCAUCUCAGGGAUUUGCUGGUACUGGAUCCAGCGGGAGGAGAUCCCUGAGGCAUUUGAUUCUUGUGGGAUUCCCACACAUCUUGCAGGAUCAACAGGUUAUCGGCACCUUCUCAGUCCCUCUGCACCCAUGACCCAGGCCAAACCAAGUACUUGCAUAUUGAAGAAACUUCCAUGCUGUUUUACGCGUGGAUUCUAACAACUGAUCUAGCAUAUAUGUUAUCAUAGCAGAAUAAGAGAUGCGCUCCAACCAGUGGAUUUUUCAUCCAAGAUGCUUCUAUAAGAAAUGCGGCAAACAUCAGUAAUGGACUGCACCAGGUAUCAUCUCUGUGCCAUGGGGUGUGUCGUGGGGACUGAUCCGUGGCUGAGGUCGACAAAAAAAAACAGGGGAGCCCACUAACAACCAAAUUCCAGACUGGUUUUUGUCAUAUCAGACAUUAGUCAUGAAAGUUGCAGUCUUUCAUUUUUAUCAUACAAAGCACACUGAUUGGUUCUCACGGGAUAGCGAUGCCUUUCAGUUGUUCUUGUCAGUACAUCCGAGUAAGGAUAAGUGGAUAACUACACACUUCUAAAUUUGUCAAUACAUACAAAUUGAUCUUUCUGGUGAUUGCUUUGGUAAUAACUACAAACUUCUAAAUUUGUCAUCUUUUUGGUCUGCAUAGCUGAUUUCCCCUGAGGAUUGUAGUAACGUUUAAACAAGUAUUUACACUUCUAAACAAGUAUGGAAAAAGGCGACUUGCUUGAACUGAAUCAGCCAUAAACCUCCCUUAAUUAUGUGCAUGUCUAAAAAAACUUUAGGUCUGCCUCCCUGUAGAAAUACACAAGUAUAUUUGUAACACUUAGAUGCUUGCCUAUGUAAGCUUGCAUCACAGACUAGCAAGGAGGAAGACGAAGCCCGGGUUCAGCCCCGUUGGAGUUGGCAUCUGCUCACAGCAAGCUGCAGAUGAUGUCCGUAUUUUGUUUCUUUUCUCCUGUAGCAAACACAAGCAGGUGCUGAGAUAAGGCAGAAUUAUAUUCAGAUUCGUAGCUGCUAGGUAGUAUAUUUUAGCACUAAGUUUCUUUCAAAUUAUGGGCAUAAUCUGUGCGGAAUUUCAAUGUACUCCUAAAACAACAGUUGUUGCUCUUGUUUUUAUGUUUCCAAUGGUGCUGGUUUCACUGAAAUUUGAUUGGUAGUUUAGGAGUUAGGCCAGAAUAGGUGCUACUGUUUAAUAAUAGCGAGGCUGUGAGAUCUAUUUACCUAUAUUCAACCAAGUUAGAGACAGUUUUAGUCCCAAUCACCUUAAAUAAAGUUGUAGGAAAUUCUCUGUGGGUAUCUUAAAAUAGUUUAUUUGCUGAGAUCGGUUAAGCGGUUUAAAAGCUAUGAACAGAACAAUGAGUGACUCAGUAACUCAGUCGAAGUUUCAGCUAAACUUAGAACUGGUUAUUUAGGUUUUUUACUUCAGGGAAAUAUUAAUGUAUUCAUGAAAUAGAUAUUUAACCUUUUUUAUAUGUGAGUUGAUAUAACUUUUAUGUACUGCAGGCAGUUCGUUUAAAUCCACAUAACAGUGCCUUUAGUAGGCGAUAGCAAGGCAGUCAGACAAUCUUAGUUUGGGGAAAUAAGAUAGGUUACCUGACGAUACAUUGAAAGAGGAAGGAAUAUUGAUAUUUCGUCGAUGGCGUGACCUGCAAAAGGAUGCUCUUGGUGACAGCAUCCUGGGCUUCUGAAACAUGCUCAGUUCAGCUGAAAGGAUGUAUUCAAUUAUGCAGAGAGAUGGAAUUGUUCGAACUCCAGUGCUACCAAUCGACGACAUGCCAAGACAUUACCACAAGAGCAUCGGUGCUUCCAGGAUGAAGAAUGAAUGCAUGUCAUUUAGGGAUAACGGUGGGCAAUGAAAUGUUGAAGGGUCCAUCUCUCACCCCACUCCAUAUAGAUGCUUAGUUCUUCAUGGCGAUUGUCUCUAAUGUUUUUGUUUGUAAUAUAUUUUGGCUUGGAAAUAUAAAAACUCCAUGCCGCCUGUCACACAAUUUUUCGUCGUCCGGGCAAACCCCCUUUUCCAUUAAUUUCUUGAUGUAUGGUUAUGAUGCAGUCUUCUAGACGAAGAUGGAUUUAGGUUGUGUGAUUCCACAGUAUACAUUGCACUUCCUUUAAGCAUGAAUAUCUGAACGUGCACGGUGUAUAUUUCUCAGUCAUGUUGUUUUUCUGUUUAUAUUUCCAGGAUACAUAUAGUACAUGUAUUGCAUUAGAAUAUAACUUCUACUUUUGUGCUAUUAUUUUCCUUCAUGGUAUAUGUGGCAGAACACCAUGUAUAUCUAAUAUCUUCAGGUUUCAGGAUUUAAAUGCCCUUUGUUUUCUGUACGAGGUGGUUACCUGGGAUUUUAUUUGAUUACUCUAUUAGAUCAUGAGCAAAUUAAGACAUAUAUUGAUCUUGCAAUUGAUAGCAUUUCCUGUCAUAUUGUUGAUUCUCUUACAGAUCCACCACCUCAGAUGGUGCUGACAGGGGUGCAAAGCAGUCUUCCUUGAGCUUUGGUACCGAGUUUUAAGGAGAACAUUUGCCCUCAUGAAGCCCCACUUUGUGGUCAUUGCAGCUGUAGCUAAGGAGGGUACCCGUCAGCGCCAGCUCACUGCUUGCCUAUGUAAUCAAUCUAUAUUUCCAACCUUUUUGUUUAUGCAGGCUCUCAUGGAGAUUCACGAUGUAGUGGUCGCACUUCAAAACACUUCAGCCACAACAUCUCAGUUCCUAGAGGAAAAAGGCAUGUACUCAGAUGAUGAAGUGCCUGAUCCAUUCUAUAGUGGGCAUUCUGAUGAAGAUUCAGCUGAUGAUUGUCGUCAAGACGUGGACGACGACUAUGAUCACUAUGUCCGAUCCCCAUGAGCAUCGUAUUCAGCCUGCUAAGAUGUCUGAUGCCAUGUGAAGCUGUAUAUGUAUAGCUUCACCAUUACGACUUGGCCUUGUGGCUGUUGUGUUUAUUCUCCUAUGUUGGCUGAAUAAGAUGCGAAGCUCUUUGUUUAUAGCUCCGCCUUAGAUUCCCCCCCCCCCUUUUUGAACUGUGCUAUGGUCAUGUAUAAUUAUGAAAUCCAUGUUGAUGUGUUGAGACAAUGUUAUUUAUCUAUGUUGCAUCUUUGCUUUUGCCCACUGUGGUUCGUCCUUUUAGUACCUUCGCUAUGAA